Molecule: unclassified non-coding RNA, 324 nt
Filed under: soil metagenome
Description: partial contains 5.8S ribosomal RNA, internal transcribed spacer 2, and large subunit ribosomal RNA
Rfam family: 5.8S ribosomal RNA (bases 1-120)
Source: RNAcentral
GAUGAAGAACGUAGCGAAAUGCGAUACGUAAUGUGAAUUGCAGAAUUCAGUGAAUCAUCGAAUCUUUGAACGCACAUUGCGCCCUGUGGUAUUCCGCAGGGCAUGCCUGUUCGAGCGUCAUUUCAACCCUCAAGCCUCGCUUGGUGUUGGGCCCUGCCCGCCGCGGCCGGCCCUAAAGAUAGUGGCGGCGCCGCCUGGCCCUCAGCGUAGUACAGCUCUCGCUCCAGGGUCCGGCGGCAGCCUGCCAGAACCCCCCAACUCUGUGGUUGACCUCGGAUCAGGUAGGGAUACCCGCUGAACUUAAGCAUAUCAAUAAGCGGAGGA